This 65-nucleotide transfer RNA is filed under the name Polyplax asiatica. Its description in RNAcentral is "tRNA-Ser". The record is from RNAcentral. Lineage: Eukaryota; Metazoa; Arthropoda; Insecta; Psocodea; Polyplacidae.
GGCAGGGGAAGUCUGCCCGUGACUUCUAAUCAAGGGGUAAAGAGCGUAACGCCUCUUCCUUGCCU